This 154-nucleotide ribosomal RNA is filed under the name Dinophysis tripos. RNAcentral's name for it is "partial 16S ribosomal RNA". It matches the Rfam family "Bacterial small subunit ribosomal RNA", at positions 355 to 526 of the family's 1533-position model. The record is from RNAcentral. Lineage: Eukaryota; Dinophyceae; Dinophysales; Dinophysaceae.
UAGGGAAUUUCCCAAUGGGCGAAAGCCUGACGGAGCAAUACCGCGUGAGGGAUGACGGCCUGUGGGUUGUAAACCUCUUUUCUCAAGGAAGAAGUUCUGACGGUACUUGAGGAAUAAGCAUCGGCUAACUCUGUGCCAGCAGCCGCGGUAAUAA